CUCACACACACACACACACACACACACACACACACACACUCACUCACUUUCUCUCUCACACACACACUCACACUCUUUCACUCACUCAAACUCACACUUGCACACACACACACACAUUAAUGCUGUCACCUUUUAUUCCCACCCCAUGCACGCUUUUUACUUAGGCCUACAUUAAUUAUAGAUUUUUAGGGACAUUUUAGGGACGUUACAUAAUUUUCUCACACACAAAAACAUGGCACCUGGAGCCACAUCACAGCAGUGUACUGUUUGCUAUAAAGAGAUCGGAAGUGCCUCCAAAUCAUGUAAACAUUGUGGAAUAACAGUUAAACAAAAGAAAAGUCUGGAACACCAAAAACUUAAAUUUGAUCACCAGUGGGCAGCCAAAUUAAAAAAAAGAUGGAAAUAUUUGCAAAAUCAUGAAUUCUGUUGACUUGAUUCUCCAUAAGUUGGAAUUACUAGGUGUCUCACCAAUGCUUUUCAUUACAACACAGAAAGGCCAGCACCGCUCUACAAAAGUUUGAGUUAAAAGCUCAUACAUUCAGAGCCAUCCCUCAGUUCCAGUUAUGCAGAGGCUUUAUGAGGCUGUUACAAGAGGGAACACCUCUGCCUCUGUGUCCAACACCUCUGCCUCUGCGUCCAGUGACCCUCCGUCUGUGUCCAACACCUCUGCCUCUGCGUCCAGUGACCCUCCGUCGGUGUCCAACAC
Megalobrama amblycephala (Wuchang bream) is the source of this 706-nucleotide long non-coding RNA. RefSeq lists it as uncharacterized. Lineage: Eukaryota; Metazoa; Chordata; Actinopteri; Cypriniformes; Xenocyprididae. The transcript is spliced from 3 exons. The record is from RefSeq and is a predicted model, not a curated record.